UACGAAGGGGGCUAGCGUUGCUCGGAAUCACUGGGCGUAAAGCGCACGUAGGCGGAUUGCUAAGUCAGGGGUGAAAUCCUGGAGCUCAACUCCAGAACUGCCUUUGAUACUGGUGAUCUCGAGUCCGAGAGAGGUGAGUGGAAUUCCGAGUGUAGAGGUGAAAUUCGUAGAUAUUCGGAGGAACACCAGUGGCGAAGGCGGCUCACUGGCUCGGUACUGACGCUGAGGUGCGAAAGCGUGGGGAGCAAACAGG
RNAcentral lists this ribosomal RNA (253 nucleotides) under uncultured bacterium. RNAcentral describes it as "partial 16S ribosomal RNA". It matches the Rfam family "Bacterial small subunit ribosomal RNA", at positions 524 to 776 of the family's 1533-position model. The record is from RNAcentral.